Molecule: ribosomal RNA, 253 nt
Filed under: uncultured bacterium
Lineage: Bacteria
Description: partial 16S ribosomal RNA
Rfam family: Bacterial small subunit ribosomal RNA
Source: RNAcentral
UACAGAGGUCUCAAGCGUUGUUCGGAUUCAUUGGGCGUAAAGGGUGUGUAGGCGGACUGGUAAGUACCUUGUGAAAUCCCACGGCUCAACCGUGGAACUGCUCGGUAUACUGCUCGUCUUGAGCCACUUAGGGGCUGUCGGAACAAACGGUGGAGCGGUGAAAUGCGUAGAUAUCGUUUGGAACGCCAAUGGUGAAAACAGACAGCUGGGAGUGUGCUGACGCUGAGACACGAAAGCCAGGGGAGCGAACGGG